RNAcentral lists this long non-coding RNA (273 nucleotides) under Prunus persica (peach). RNAcentral describes it as "long non-coding RNA (PPER_LNC000654)". Lineage: Eukaryota; Viridiplantae; Streptophyta; Magnoliopsida; Rosales; Rosaceae. The record is from RNAcentral.
AAGAAGAAACUUGCAUUGAAAAAAAAAAAAAAAAGUAUUUAUAUAUAUAUACAGAGAGCUUCCAUUGAGGGAUCCCUCAAAUAAGCUUAUUUGAGGGACACCCCUUGUAGGCCCCACUCCGGAUUGUAUUUCACUAAUCCAAACCGUCUAUUUUGUAGAUACUCAUUCAAAGAUCAUCUCUACAAAAAAUCACUUGAAUCCGAUAUCAUGUGACCACUCAAUUGAGUUAUUGAAAUUUUAGUACUUUUCUUAAAGCACCGUGUUCAUUGAUUU